UAAAGUGCUUAUAGUGCAGGUAGUGUUGUCCGUAUCUACUGCAGCGUGAGCACUUCAAGU
This is a microRNA precursor of Gadus morhua (Atlantic cod), 60 nucleotides long. Ensembl annotates it as gmo-mir-20a-1. Its record names the gene gmo-mir-20a-1. The record is from Ensembl. Lineage: Eukaryota; Metazoa; Chordata; Actinopteri; Gadiformes; Gadidae.